AACCGCCACAUACAGCUAUGGUAUUCAUUCUCAAUGAAUCGAAGGAAAUUGUAUAUGUCAAGGUCAUAGGAAAUAAGUAGCUGGUCGUAGGUAAACGUGUUGGAAUCAAACAUGAACAUUGUAGUGCAAGCGAAGGUGUACAUACCGAAAACGAAAAUGAAUGGCAAUGGGCAAAAGAUAAUGGUUUACCCAAAUUUUGCCCAAGGAAAAAGUUAAGCUUAGCCCAGUGGUUGACAAAAAAACAAUGCAUGUAACAAUGAUAACUAAAACAUAAACAAAUUGCAAUGCCUUUCCUAUUUCGGAAAGAAGAACAAGUCAAUGUGAAAGCUGAAGAUGAACUAUUGUGUGUUGAAAUUGUCGAAGAAAAAGUAAAAAGUUUUAGGGAGAUACACAAUUAGAGUAGAAUCAAAGGGGGCAGUUGAUAAUAGUUCAAAGGCUAGAAAUUUUUCACAUUAUAGGGAAAGAGCAAAACUUUUACAAAACUGCGGCCAAACUAUUGGGACACCAAACGAAUGUACCAAUUUACCAUUGGAACUUGCAACCCUCAGGAACGACAAAAAAAAAGGGAAAUUACAUGGUUGUAGGAAGAAAAAAUCCGAUAAGGUCAGGCCAGUUACUAACAAUGGGGAAUAUAAUGGUUGUAGGAAGAAAAUAUUCUAUAGGGUCAGGCCAGUUACUGGACAUAACGAAACCAUUUCACUUCUAAAAACUUUAUGAGAUCCCUGAUAUCUGAAUUAGAGCAAAAUCCAGGUAUAAAUGUGAGGUAUUGCGAAAUACAUCAAGAUGAUUAUAAUGAAGAAUUCAAUUAUCACGUUUACAGAAUUCAACUGAACAUCAGAAAUUUCGAUGUGCAGAAACAACAAACAUUUUAUUGGUCAAUAGAAGUUGCCGAAUAUUAUACAAUGGAUUAACGAAAAUAUUAAUAACAGACUUUCAGUUAACAAUUAUGUAAUGUUUUAACUAUUU
This 966-nucleotide long non-coding RNA is filed under the name Mytilus galloprovincialis (Mediterranean mussel). Lineage: Eukaryota; Metazoa; Mollusca; Bivalvia; Mytilida; Mytilidae. The record is from RNAcentral.